RNAcentral lists this ribosomal RNA (2260 nucleotides) under human gut metagenome. RNAcentral describes it as "bacterial LSU rRNA". It matches the Rfam family "Bacterial large subunit ribosomal RNA", at positions 14 to 2298 of the family's 2925-position model. The record is from RNAcentral.
AGCGUACACGGUGGAUGCCCUGGCAGUCAGAGGCGAUGAAGGACGUGCUAAUCUGCGAUAAGCGUCGGUGAGGUGAUAUGAACCGUUAUAACCGGCGAUGUCCGAAUGGGGAAACCCAGUGUGUUCCGACACACUAUCAUUAACUGAAUCCAUAGGUUAAUGAGGCGAACCGGGGGAACUGAAACAUCUAAGUACCCCGAGGAAAAGAAAUCAACCGAGAUUCCCCCAGUAGCGGCGAGCGAACGGGGAGGAGCCCAGAGCCUGAAUCAGUGUGUGUGUUAGUGGAAGCGUCUGGAAAGGCGCGCGAUACAGGGUGACAGCCCCGUACACAAAAAUGCACAUGCUGUGAGCUCGAUGAGUAGGGCGGGACACGUGGUAUCCUGUCUGAAUAUGGGGGGACCAUCCUCCAAGGCUAAAUACUCCUGACUGACCGAUAGUGAACCAGUACCGUGAGGGAAAGGCGAAAAGAACCCCGGCGAGGGGAGUGAAAAAGAACCUGAAACCGUGUACGUACAAGCAGUGGGAGCCCUGAUUUAUCAGGGUGACUGCGUACCUUUUGUAUAAUGGGUCAGCGACUUAUAUUCUGUAGCAAGGUUAACCGAAUAGGGGAGCCGGAGGGAAACCGAGUCUUAACUGGGCGUUAAGUUGCAGGGUAUAGACCCGAAACCCGGUGAUCUAGCCAUGGGCAGGUUGAAGGUUGGGUAACACUAACUGGAGGACCGAACCGACUAAUGUUGAAAAAUUAGCGGAUGACUUGUGGCUGGGGGUGAAAGGCCAAUCAAACCGGGAGAUAGCUGGUUCUCCCCGAAAGCUAUUUAGGUAGCGCCUCGUGAAUUCAUCUCCGGGGGUAGAGCACUGUUUCGGCAAGGGGGUCAUCCCGACUUACCAACCCGAUGCAAACUGCGAAUACCGGAGAAUGUUAUCACGGGAGACACACGGCGGGUGCUAACGUCCGUCGUGAAGAGGGAAACAACCCAGACCGCCAGCUAAGGUCCCAAAGUCAUGGUUAAGUGGGAAACGAUGUGGGAAGGCCCAGACAGCCAGGAUGUUGGCUUAGAAGCAGCCAUCAUUUAAAGAAAGCGUAAUAGCUCACUGGUCGAGUCGGCCUGCGCGGAAGAUGUAACGGGGCUAAACCAUGCACCGAAGCUGCGGCAGCGACACUGUGUGUUGUUGGGUAGGGGAGCGUUCUGUAAGCCUGUGAAGGUGUGCUGUGAGGCAUGCUGGAGGUAUCAGAAGUGCGAAUGCUGACAUAAGUAACGAUAAAGCGGGUGAAAAGCCCGCUCGCCGGAAGACCAAGGGUUCCUGUCCAACGUUAAUCGGGGCAGGGUGAGUCGACCCCUAAGGCGAGGCCGAAAGGCGUAGUCGAUGGGAAACAGGUUAAUAUUCCUGUACUUGGUGUUACUGCGAAGGGGGGACGGAGAAGGCUAUGUUGGCCGGGCGACGGUUGUCCCGGUUUAAGCGUGUAGGCUGGUUUUCCAGGCAAAUCCGGAGAAUCAAGGCUGAGGCGUGAUGACGAGGCACUACGGUGCUGAAGCAACAAAUGCCCUGCUUCCAGGAAAAGCCUCUAAGCAUCAGGUAACAUCAAAUCGUACCCCAAACCGACACAGGUGGUCAGGUAGAGAAUACCAAGGCGCUUGAGAGAACUCGGGUGAAGGAACUAGGCAAAAUGGUGCCGUAACUUCGGGAGAAGGCACGCUGAUAUGUAGGUGAAGCGACUUGCUCGUGGAGCUGAAAUCAGUCGAAGAUACCAGCUGGCUGCAACUGUUUAUUAAAAACACAGCACUGUGCAAACACGAAAGUGGACGUAUACGGUGUGACGCCUGCCCGGUGCCGGAAGGUUAAUUGAUGGGGUCAGCGCAAGCGAAGCUCUUGAUCGAAGCCCCGGUAAACGGCGGCCGUAACUAUAACGGUCCUAAGGUAGCGAAAUUCCUUGUCGGGUAAGUUCCGACCUGCACGAAUGGCGUAAUGAUGGCCAGGCUGUCUCCACCCGAGACUCAGUGAAAUUGAACUCGCUGUGAAGAUGCAGUGUACCCGCGGCAAGACGGAAAGACCCCGUGAACCUUUACUAUAGCUUGACACUGAACACUGGUCCUUGAUGUGUAGGAUAGGUGGGAGGCUUUGAAGUGUGGACGCCAGUCUGCAUGGAGCCGUCCUUGAAAUACCACCCUUUAAUGGCUGGUGUUCUAACGUGGGCCCGUAAUCCGGGUUGCGGACAGUGUCUGGUGGGUAGUUUGACUGGGGCGGUCUCCUCCUAAAGAGU